AACGAACGCUGGCGGCAUGCCUAACACAUGCAAGUCGAACGAGACCUUCGGGUCUAUUGGCGCACGGGUGCGUCACGCGUGGGAACCUUCCCUUAGGUUCGGACUAACUCCCCGAAAGGGGUGCUAAUACCGGAUAAUGUCUUCUGACCAAAGAUUUAUCGCCUUUGGAUGUGCCCGCGUUGGAUUCGCUAGUUGGUAGGGUAAAAGCCUACCAAGGCGACGAUCCAUAGCUGGUCUGAGAGGAUGAUCAGCCACACUGGGACUGAGACACGGCCCAGACUCCUACGGGAGGCAGCAGUGGGGAAUAGUGGAAAAUGGGGGAAAGGCUGAUCCAGCAAUGACGCGUGAGUGAUGAAGGCCUUAGGGUUGGAAAGCGCUUUUAACCGGGAAGAUAAUGACAGUACCGGGAGAAUAAGCUCCGGCUAACUCCGUG
This 433-nucleotide ribosomal RNA is filed under the name uncultured bacterium. RNAcentral describes it as "partial 16S ribosomal RNA". It matches the Rfam family "Bacterial small subunit ribosomal RNA", at positions 29 to 507 of the family's 1533-position model. The record is from RNAcentral.